Molecule: transfer RNA, 71 nt
Filed under: Candidatus Daviesbacteria bacterium
Lineage: Bacteria; Candidatus Daviesiibacteriota
Description: tRNA-Glu
Rfam family: tRNA
About the family: Transfer RNA (tRNA) molecules are approximately 80 nucleotides in length. Their secondary structure includes four short double-helical elements and three loops (D, anti-codon, and T loops).
Source: RNAcentral
GGGCCGGUAGGCUAAUGGUAGACCGACUACCUCUCCAGUAGAGACUGCGGGUUCGAAUCCCGUCCGGUCCA